GUGCAUGUGACUUCUGGAACAGAAACCAGAACAUCUGCCCCUCCCCCUGAAAGACAUGGGGACACUCCUAGAACUGGUUUAGACGAUGGUCGCUCAAGCUUCUCAUUCCUCUUUGAGCCAUAGAAUCUCAAAAUGUGAAGCAUGCAUUGCAGGAGGACUUGGACAUCACCUUGUGUUGUUUUUGUCUCCACAUAAAUAAAAUAUAUAUGGAUGUUUAUUUUAUCAUCAUAUUCGAUGCUCUUUAUAUUUUUGAUGAAUGACAACAUAAAGUGUUUAAAGUCAGAUGUUAGAAUAAGUAAGAUGGUCUUGAAAUGCCUCUAUGUGUAUUCCUUGUGACAUAGUAACAAUACUGUUCAUUACUUGUCAGUGUCUACCAACUUAUGAUUUGAUCCUAUGAGAAAUAAAUCCAAUUCUUCACAAUU
Molecule: long non-coding RNA, 422 nt
Organism: Anguilla rostrata (American eel)
Lineage: Eukaryota; Metazoa; Chordata; Actinopteri; Anguilliformes; Anguillidae
Exons: 3
Source: RefSeq, a predicted model, not a curated record